RNAcentral lists this ribosomal RNA (253 nucleotides) under uncultured bacterium. Its description in RNAcentral is "partial 16S ribosomal RNA". It matches the Rfam family "Bacterial small subunit ribosomal RNA", at positions 524 to 776 of the family's 1533-position model. The record is from RNAcentral.
UACGAAGGGGGCUAGCGUUGUUCGGAAUUACUGGGCGUAAAGGGCGCGUAGGCGGUACUUCAAGUCAGGCGUGAAAGCCCCGGGCUCAACCUGGGAACCGCGCUUGAGACUGGAGAACUAGAGUUCGGGAGAGGAUGGUGGAAUUCCCAGUGUAGAGGUGAAAUGCGUAGAUAUUGGGAGGAACACCAGUGGCGAAGGCGGCUCACUGGACUGGUACUGACGCUGAGGCGCGAAAGCGUGGGGAGCAAACAGG